RNAcentral lists this long non-coding RNA (1514 nucleotides) under Daucus carota (carrot). RNAcentral describes it as "long non-coding RNA (DCAR_LNC003724)". The record is from RNAcentral. Lineage: Eukaryota; Viridiplantae; Streptophyta; Magnoliopsida; Apiales; Apiaceae.
AAAAUACCUCUCUUCAUAAUAGAAUCACUUCCAAAUUUUGUUCCUUCAAUAAAUCACGAUUUGCUGCCAGGCGAAACUCUCGUCCUUCAAUUAUUUGUUGACCCAAGGAAAGAUAGGUACACACUGGGGUAGCUAUAUUACAAGGUUACAACUGAUCGAAUGGGAAAGGUUUGAGAGUUGCUGAAGCCAUUUGCCAUGCCUUCACUGACGCUGUGACACUCACUCCUGUGGCAUUGUUAAACAAAAACACUCUUGCUGCACUGUAAAUUGCUCUGGUUGGAUAAACUCGUGACGUUAUAACUGUUCUACCUCCUUGAGCAAAACUUUCAACAAUGGAAUGAUCCACCUAAAUUUUGUUUACAGAUAUAUUUCAGGCUCAUGUGCAUAAAAUUCAAAUUUGGAUUCAUUCACAUACCCCUAAAUGCUAAUAUUAGUAAUUUUGAUAAAGUUUGUUUUCUUAAUUAAUUUUGAACUUCAGGUAUGGCAGUAAUAGAUUCAAAAAUCAGGGAUAAUUCAUAAGUCUAACUUAGCCUGUCUAUUCUUUAAGACAUAUUGUGAUUAAAGUAAACUUUCACAUACCAAUAAUCUCAUGGAUAAGCUUUCACCAGGGAGCACGGGAACAUCACUACCAUAAACCUCUUUAUCAACAUCAGAAGCAGUUGAUGAUCUGCAUUACAUGACUUCGCUUAUUCAUUAAAAUGCAACAUUAAACAGAACGCAAAUGACUACUCCCUCCGUCUCAAUUUAUAGGCCCCUUUUGAAAAAUAAAUUUGUCCCAAAAUACUUGUCCCUCUCUUCUUUCAAUACAAAUUUAUCUAUAAAAUUAGCAGCCUAAGGUGACCCCACCAGAUGUAUAUAACUGGAACUUGUACACAGAUCAUGUGAUCAUCCAAAUAAUAUCUUUAAACUGAACCAGUUCAAAAUUGUAAAAUAUUCUAAUUGAUCUACUUUCAGAUUCAUUUGUAUCAUAAUUUAUAAUGCAUACCUUCAAAGUGGCAAGUAGAUUAUAAUAAUGAAAAAAAAACAAGAUGGGCCCAAUAAAAAUUCACUAUAUAUUCCAAAUUUCACUCUUCACUAUAUAUUGCAAAUUUCACUCAGAUUGGAAUACAACACAAAUAAUCAUCAAAAAAGAAAAGAAUACAAUACAUAUAUGCAAUAGGGACAAGCCUAUCUUUCUAACCUUCUGGUUGCAACUUGCAAGUCCAUCAUAAAAAAUACCUCUCUUCAUAAUAGAAUCACUUCCAAAUUUUGUUCCUUCAAUAAAUCACGAUUUGCUGCCAGGCGAAACUCUCGUCCUUCAAUUAUUUGUUGACCCAAGGAAAGAUAGGUACACACUGGGGUAGCUAUAUUACAAGGUUACAACUGAUCGAAUGGGAAAGGUUUGAGAGUUGCUGAAGCCAUUUGCCAUGCCUUCACUGACGCUGUGACACUCACUCCUGUGGCAUUGUUAAACAAAAACACUCUUGCUGCACUGUAAAUUGCUCUGGUUGGAUAAACUCGUGACGUUAUAACUG